This 72-nucleotide transfer RNA is filed under the name Mesorhizobium sp. Root554. It matches the Rfam family "tRNA". Rfam says of the family: Transfer RNA (tRNA) molecules are approximately 80 nucleotides in length. The record is from Rfam by way of RNAcentral. Lineage: Bacteria; Pseudomonadati; Pseudomonadota; Alphaproteobacteria; Hyphomicrobiales; Phyllobacteriaceae.
GGCUUCGUGGCGGAGUGGCUACGCAGAGGACUGCAAAUCCUCUUACCCCUGGUUCGAAUCCGGGCGAAGCCU